GAAGUCAGACCGUAAGGACUGGUGGAGCGCUUAGAAGUGAGAAUGCCGGUAUGAGUAGCGAAAGACAAGUGAGAAUCUUGUCCACCGAAUGCCUAAGGUUUCCUGAGGAAGGCUCGUCCGCUCAGGGUUAGUCGGGACCUAAGCCGAGGCUGAAAAGCGUAGGCGAUGGCCAACAGGUUGAUAUUCCUGUACCACCUCCCCGCCGUUUGAGUAAUGGGGGGACGCAGUAGGAUAGGGUAAGCGCGCUGCUGGAUAUGCGCGUUCAAGCAGUUAGGCUGAUGAGUAGGCAAAUCCGCUCAUCAU
Molecule: ribosomal RNA, 303 nt
Filed under: Priestia megaterium
Lineage: Bacteria; Bacillati; Bacillota; Bacilli; Caryophanales; Bacillaceae
Description: Bacillus megaterium partial 23S ribosomal RNA
Rfam family: Bacterial large subunit ribosomal RNA
Source: RNAcentral